RNAcentral lists this ribosomal RNA (440 nucleotides) under uncultured bacterium. RNAcentral describes it as "partial 16S ribosomal RNA". It matches the Rfam family "Bacterial small subunit ribosomal RNA", at positions 338 to 795 of the family's 1533-position model. The record is from RNAcentral.
CCUACGGGAGGCAGCAGUGGGGAAUAUUGCACAAUGGGGGAAACCCUGAUGCAGCGACGCCGCGUGAGUGAAGAAGUAUUUCUGUAUGUAAAGCUCUAUCAGCAGGGAAGAAAAUGACAGUACCUGACCAAGACGCCCCGGCUAACUCCGUGCCAGCAGCCGCGGUAAUACGGAGGGGGCAAGCGUUAUCCGGAUUUACGGGGUGUAAAGGGAGCGUAGACGGUUAUGUAAGUCUGGAGUGAAAGCCCGGGGCCCAACCCCGGGACUGCUUUGGAAACUGUGUAACUGGAGUGCAGGUGGGGCAGGCGGAAUGCCUGGUGUAGCGGUGAAAUGCGUAGAUAUUAGGAGGAACACCGGUGGCGAAGGCGGCUUACUGGACCGUAACUGACGUUGAGGCUCGAAAGCGUGGGGAGCAAACAGGAUUAGAUACCCUGGUAGUC